UACGGAGGGUGCAAGCGUUAUCCGGAUUCACUGGGUUUAAAGGGUGCGUAGGUGGGCAGGUAAGUCAGUGGUGAAAUCUCCGGGCUUAACCCGGAAACUGCCAUUGAUACUAUUUGUCUUGAAUACUGUGGAGGUCAGCGGAAUAUGUCAUGUAGCGGUGAAAUGCAUAGAUAUGACAUAGAACACCAAUUGCGAAGGCAGCUGGCUACACAAAUAUUGACGCUGAUGCACGAAAGCGUGGGGAUCAAACAGG
RNAcentral lists this ribosomal RNA (253 nucleotides) under uncultured bacterium. Its description in RNAcentral is "partial 16S ribosomal RNA". It matches the Rfam family "Bacterial small subunit ribosomal RNA", at positions 524 to 776 of the family's 1533-position model. The record is from RNAcentral.